CCUACGGGUGGCAGCAGUAGGGAAUCUUUCACAAUGGGCGAAAGCCUGAUGGAGCAACGCCGCGUGCAGGAUGACGGCCUUCGGGUUGUAAACUGCUUUUAUAAGCGAGAAAUAUGAUGGUAACUUAUGAAUAAGGAUCGGCUAACUACGUGCCAGCAGCCGCGGUCAUACGUAGGAUCCGAGCAUUAUCCGGAGUGACUGGGUGUAAAGAGUUGCGUAGGUGGCAUAAUAAGUAGCUAGUGAAAUCUGGUGGCUCAACCAUUCAGACUAUUAGCUAAACUGUUAAGCUCGAGACCGUUAGAGGUAACUGGAAUGUCUAGUGUAGGGGUGAAAUCCGUAGAUAUUAGAAGGAACACCAAUAGCGUAGGCAGGUUGCUGGGACGGUUCUGACACUAAGGCACGAAAGCGUAGGGAGCAAACGGGAUUAGAUACCCCAGUAGUC
This 442-nucleotide ribosomal RNA is filed under the name uncultured bacterium. RNAcentral describes it as "partial 16S ribosomal RNA". It matches the Rfam family "Bacterial small subunit ribosomal RNA", at positions 338 to 795 of the family's 1533-position model. The record is from RNAcentral.